Molecule: ribosomal RNA, 186 nt
Filed under: uncultured Bacteroidota bacterium
Lineage: Bacteria; Pseudomonadati; Bacteroidota
Description: uncultured Bacteroidetes bacterium partial 16S ribosomal RNA
Rfam family: Bacterial small subunit ribosomal RNA
Source: RNAcentral
GCAACCUACCUUUUAUUGGGGGAUAGCCCGGAGAAAUCCGGAUUAAUACCGCAUAACAUCACUUGAGGGCAUCUGAGGGUGAUUAAAGCUGAGGCGAUAAAAGAUGGGCAUGCGUGCCAUUAGCUAGUUGGUUGGGGUAACGGCCCACCAAGGCGACGAUGGCUAGGGGUUCUGAGAGGAUGAUCC